This is a long non-coding RNA of Hypomesus transpacificus, 4825 nucleotides long. RefSeq lists it as uncharacterized. The transcript has 3 exons. NCBI's taxonomy places the organism in Eukaryota, Metazoa, Chordata, Actinopteri, Osmeriformes, Osmeridae. The record is from RefSeq and is a predicted model, not a curated record.
CGAUUCGCCGCCGGGAAAGUGCAAAGAAGAAACCGAAGAGGAUCCGGAGAGGCUGGGAGACCGAAGAGGAAACCAAAGAGGAUCCGAAGAGGCUGGGAAACCGAAGACAAAACAGAAGAGGAUCUGAAGAGGCUAGGAAACCGAAGAGGAUCCGAAGAGACUGGAAAACCGAAGAGGAAACCGAAGAGGAGGUGGCUCUAAAAAACUGCACGACUAUCAACUCGCUACGGCGCUGCCCGCUGUCCCAUUCGUUUCAAUUGAGCUGUGUGGCUCAAAAAAGCUCAUUCCCCCAGGUGAUAAGAACUUUCGUGCGACAAUUCUCUCCAAGUCGGGAGGAUAUGUCCUCUGGUAAUGGAGGACUCGCCCAGGUCUCGUCCUGGACAGGAGAGGGGGAGGGAAUCUGACGGACAGACAGGGGGCGGGGUAGGGAAUCUGACGGACGGAGAGGGAGAGUGAAUCUUGUGCCUCAACUCGCUACGACGCUGCCAGGCAGCUGUGCCUCUCAUUUCAAUGGCGCUAUGGGAAAAGAGUUUCAGACAUUUCACUCGGAAGUUCUGCUUUUUUGGGGACAGGAGGUGACAUCCAGCCAGCUAUAACCAAUUGAGCUGUGGCUGGGAAAAAAGUGGACAUCAUUCGUGUCAAUGGAGCAAGAAACCUAGGUGGCUGUGAAAAUAAUUGCACACAUUGUACGUCUAUCAACUCGCCAUGAUGCUGCCUGCCAGAACCAUGGCAUGGGUUGUCCCAACUGUGCGACCGCACAAGGCCUCGUGUCACUGGUGGCCUUGCGCCAGCCUGGUUUGCAACCACAAAGGUUUUUUUGUGUUUUUUUUCUACUUUCAAUAUUUGUGUAUACCUGUUCUUGACUCGAUGUGCUAUAAAAUGAAAUAGAAAUGAGCUAGAAACCAACAGGUGGCCUUGCCUGGUUUGCAAUCACAAAGUGUAUUUAUUUUUUCUACUUUCAAUAUUUUUUUAUUCCUGUUCUUGACUCGAUGUGCUCUAAAAUGAAAUCGAAAUGAACAAGAAACUCUGGCUGGGAUAAAAUGCACACAGUGUUUGCCUUUAAAUCACUACGACGCUGCCCACUGUCCGAUUAGUUUCAAUUGAGCUGUGUGGCUGGGAAAAAGAGGACAUCAUUCGUGUCAAUGGAGCUGGAAACCUACAGGUAGGUGGCUGAGAAAAUAAUGUGUAGGCCUACGCCUAUCAACUUGCUACGACGCUGCCCACUGUCCGAUUAGUUUCAAUUGAGCUGUGACGCUGGGAAAACGUGGACAUCAUUCGUGUCAAUAGAGCAAGAAACCUAGGUUGCUGGGAAACGGUGUACACAGUGUACGCCUAUGGGUUGUCCCAACGUUUUUUCUACUUUCAAUAUCUUUUUAUUCCUGUUCCUGACUCGAUGUGCUAUAAAAUGAAAUAGAAAUGAGCUAGAAAUCACCAGGUGGCUGGGAAAAAGUGCACACAGUGUACGCCCAUCAAAUAGCUACGACGCUGCUCACUGUCCGAUUAGUUUCAAUUGAGCUGUGAGGCUGGGAAAAGGUGGACAUCGUUCGUGUCAAUAGAGCAAGAAACCUAGGUUGCUGGGAAACAGUGCACGCAAAUCUAUCAACUCGCCACAAUGCUGCCCGUCAGAACCGUGGCAUGGGUUGUUCCAACUGUGCGACCGCACAAGACCUCGCGUCACUGGUGGCCUCGCGCCUGCCUGAUUGCAAUCACAACGUUUUUUUGGUGCUUUUUUCUACUUUCAAUAUUUUUUCGUUCCUGUUUUUGACUCGAUCUGCUCAAAAAAGUGCACACAGUGUACGCCUAUCAACUCGCUACGACGCUUCCCAGUGUCCGAUUAGUUUCAAUUGAGCUGUGAGGCUGGGAAAAAACGGACAUCAUUCGUGUUUAUAGAGCAAGAAACCUAGGUUGCUGGGAAACGGUGAACACAGUGUACGCCUAUGGGUUGUCCCAACUUUUUUUCUACUUUCAAUAUCUUUUUAUUCCUGUUCCUGACUCGAUGUCCUCUAAAAUGAAAUAGAAAUUAGCUAGAAAACCAACAGGUGUCUUGCCUGGUUUGCAAUCACAACGUUUUUUUUUUCUUUCAAUUUUUGUUUAUUCCUGUUUUUGACUCGAUUAUCAACUCGCCAUGAUGCUGCCCGCCAGAACCGUGGCAUGGGUUGUUCCAACUGUGCGACCGCACAAGGCCUCGCGUCAGUGGUGGCCUCGCGCCUGCCUGGUUGCAAUCACAACGUUUUUUUGGUGCUUUUUUCUACUUUCAAUAUUUUUUCGUUCCUGUUUUUGACUCGAUGUGCUCUAAAAUGAAAUCGAAAUGAGCUAGAAACCACCAGGUGGCUGGGAAAAAGUGCACACAGUGUACGCCUAUCAACUCGCUACGACGCUUCCCAGUGUCCGAUUAGUUUCAAUUGAGCUGUGAGGCUUGGAAAAAGCGGACAUCAUUCGUGUCAAUAGAGCAAGAAACCUCGGUUGCUGGGAAACAGUGCACACAGUGUACGCCUAACAACUCUUCACAACGCUGUCCGCUGUCGCAUUUGUUUCAAAGGAGAAACAUAUUGUUUGAGGCGAGAGAGAGCCCCGACCUGCAGUAGGCUAGGUUGUGAUUGCAGUUUUCCUAAGCGAGCAAGUUCAGAGGUCCUCUUUCCUCGGUAGUUCGUACCAAAAAAUGGGAGGUGUUCCAAAGCUCCGAAAUUGUUCAGAUAACAAGGGGUAGAAGGGGACGCCAGUUUGCGAGCUGAGAGGAGGGAGCUGAGAGAGAGAGUGCGCGAGCUAAGAGGAGGGAGCUGAGAGAGUUUGAUCUCAUACAUUGCAUAAAGUCACUUCAAACAAUAAACGGGAUAAUAUGUGUAUGUACGAGUUAUGGUAGGCCCUACAGGAGAGAACCAAGCACUUGUGCGGGGUUUACAACAGGCUUGAGGCGCGUCUUCUGCGUUCGGAGCUGAAGUGGACGCCAUAUAUACAAACUUUGGUUGGACAAUUCAGCCGAGGUUGGAUAAAACAUUUUUUUGUUUUCAUGCAAAUAGCCUGCAUUUAUUUACUCAUCCGAAGCUUAACCCUCUAACAUAAAUGUUAAAAUUUGGAGGAGUAAUCCCCCAUUAGUGCAUAUGCAUAUGGUACUAUACAACCUUCUUUUUACAAUAAAGGAGUCAGAAAGUUUGUAUAUAUGAUUGCAACUACAAGAAUGUUAUACUGACAAAGAAAUAGCCACACCACAUUGUGCCGAUGCGUAAAUGGUAAGCUUUUUGCAAUUCUCUUCACGCAACAAUGUUUGCAUCAAUUCCGGAGGCCCAAUUUGAGGAAUAACUUGUGCGUAUUGGCAUGAGUUACUGGUAGCCUACUGGAGAUAUUUUCCACGGAAGCACAAUUUCUCUUUUAGAAUGUUUUAUUUUGUUAAUUUCAAUAGGCAGUAGGCUAGGCUGUGUGUGUUAUAUGCAAUGUUAUACGCGAUAUCAGAGGACCGAUCUCUCAUCGGUGGUCGGAGAUGAAUAAGACGGAUGUCAUGUAGUAGGCUAGCCUACAAACAAAUAAGAGGUAGGCUACUGCGCUUGGACAUCACAGCCAGCUAUGUCCGAAGGGCUCCAGUCCCAAGCCUUCCAACCUUGUAUAUAGGCCUACGCUUCCGGCUCACACCCAUUUCGGGUUGCCGCCAGGAUAGUGCCAACCAGACGCACUGUGUUCACACUGUGAUAUUUAGGCCAACUUUGUUGCUCACGGUUGAUCCAGGAUCCGAAGAGGAUUGUGCCAUGUAUUCAUUUGACCAUUAAUUUAAAUAGAAAUUAGUUUGAUUUUGGCGGAACGAGUUGCUGCGUCUGUAACAGUGUCAGCGAGAAAUAGCUUUCCAAAAUGAUCGGUUGAACAAGAUGUGGGUGCGUAACAGGAAUUGGACAACAAGCAAACAGGAGGCAACAUCGCAGCCAGCUAUGAUAACCAAUCCAAAGGGCUACUGUGAUCCGCCUUCCAGCCCAUUUCGGGUCGCCUCCGGGAGAGUGCCAGACUGUGUUCAUACUGCGAGUAUUUACUUCGUUGCUCGAUCCAGGACAGUGGACAGUGCUAUGCACUGCUGAUGGGGCUUCAUAAUUUGUAGUCCUAAACUACCUUAUUAGCCAAAUGUUCUAAAAUCAGUUUCCAACCAAAACGCAUCGCUCCAAAAUUCUGCUUGAUAAGGGUAGGCCUAUAACCAGGCGCGGAUUAAUGCACAGGCUUGCCUAGGCUGCAGCCUAGGGGCCCCACCUGUGCAGGGGGCCCCGGAUUGGCCGGAUUGUUUUUUAAUAUUUUAAAUGUACUUAAGCAAGAACAAAAUAAAGACCCCAAUUGGCACAUAAGAAACUUUUUCUUUUUUAAUAAGCAAAUCAUUGGGUAGAUAUGACUUGGGUCACAUCUGUCCAAUCAGCUGCUGCUGGUCAAAUCAUGUCAAUCAUUUACAUUGCUCACUGCUAUUGCUAGAUGGCAUAGUAUUAAAGUGGAGCAAAAAAACGCUAAAUAAAAAGGUCAAAAGAACAACAUGACCAAGAUAUCCUGAAACAAAUCCCGAGAUUGAAUGGAUACUUCAAGGCUGCUGAAUCUUCAUCCAGUCGAAGACAAGAUCAUCCACAGCAGGAGGACUGCCAGCUAGCAUCGGCCAUCGGUAAUAUUUCAGCGAAUUUGGGAAAGUUACUGGAAUUGGUACUAGUGUGUAGUAUUAGUACUUUUAAGGAUCUGAAUACUUCUUCCACCACUGAUGUUGUGAUUUUGCCUCAGUAAAACAUGGUGUUCUGCACUGAUGCAGAUGCUGUAGCCUACCUUUGGUUAAUAAAGCUAAAAGCGAUUAGUUUGCAGUUGAACUGUGAAUGCA